AUUGUUCUAGUAUAAUAGUAUAUUUGAUUUCCAAUCAAAAGGAUAAUGAAUAAUA
Molecule: transfer RNA, 55 nt
Filed under: Vaejovis smithi
Lineage: Eukaryota; Metazoa; Arthropoda; Arachnida; Scorpiones; Vaejovidae
Description: tRNA-Gly
Source: RNAcentral